This 568-nucleotide ribosomal RNA is filed under the name Bacillus sp. (in: firmicutes). Its description in RNAcentral is "bacterial SSU rRNA". It matches the Rfam family "Bacterial small subunit ribosomal RNA", at positions 81 to 635 of the family's 1533-position model. The record is from RNAcentral. Lineage: Bacteria; Bacillati; Bacillota; Bacilli; Caryophanales; Bacillaceae.
GCUCCCUGAAGUCAGCGGCGGACGGGUGAGUAACACGUGGGCAACCUGCCUGUAAGACUGGGAUAACUCCGGGAAACCGGGGCUAAUACCGGAUAAUUCUUUCCCUCACAUGAGGGAAAGCUGAAAGAUGGUUUCGGCUAUCACUUACAGAUGGGCCCGCGGCGCAUUAGCUAGUUGGUGAGGUAACGGCUCACCAAGGCAACGAUGCGUAGCCGACCUGAGAGGGUGAUCGGCCACACUGGGACUGAGACACGGCCCAGACUCCUACGGGAGGCAGCAGUAGGGAAUCUUCCGCAAUGGACGAAAGUCUGACGGAGCAACGCCGCGUGAGUGAUGAAGGUUUUCGGAUCGUAAAACUCUGUUGUUAGGGAAGAACAAGUACCGGAGUAACUGCCGGUACCUUGACGGUACCUAACCAGAAAGCCACGGCUAACUACGUGCCAGCAGCCGCGGUAAUACGUAGGUGGCAAGCGUUGUCCGGAAUUAUUGGGCGUAAAGCGCGCGCAGGCGGUUCCUUAAGUCUGAUGUGAAAGCCCCCGGCUCAACCGGGGAGGGUCAUUGGAAACUG